This is a long non-coding RNA of Coregonus clupeaformis (lake whitefish), 824 nucleotides long. RefSeq lists it as uncharacterized. The record is from RefSeq and is a predicted model, not a curated record. The transcript is spliced from 4 exons. NCBI's taxonomy places the organism in Eukaryota, Metazoa, Chordata, Actinopteri, Salmoniformes, Salmonidae.
GUGGGAAGGUUAGCAAUAGGGUAAUACUGUAGCUCCACCUCCUUACUCUGUGAUAGCUGGAAUUUCUGCAAUAAUGUUUAAAGGUCAACUGGCCCUUAGAACCAACUUCUCUGGUUUUAAAUGGCCUAUGUGGCAUCGAUAUGAGUCAAACAUGAAUUAUAGUGUCAAAAUUGUGAGUUCGUCAUGAUUUACUAGAGGGUUGGGUAUGGAUUAUUCACAUGCCCACUUUUACCAAUGAUGCCCAAUUGCCCAGAGACUACACGUUGUGGUCCGCCCCCAGCUGCCAUGUGGACAUUUUGUUGUCAAGUCUGCAUAUGGGUGCAACGCACGCACAUUUAGCUCGGCAAAAAGGACUGAAAAUGGGCAUCCAUAAAGCUGAUGCAAACUUCCAUGCAUUUCAACAAUAUUGCCAGAUGGCCAGGAAUGGAUUACCUACGACACAGUAAUUUCUGAUGCCUGUCAAUCGUCAAACCACUGAUGUUGCAGCAUCGUGAGAACCCCCCCCCCAUAGCAGGAGCUAUUUCAGAAGGCUGAGGCAGUGGCCAGACACCAGUCCCUCUUCAGAGUAAUGGAGGACACUUGAAUCAGGAGCUGGGUCGGAUAUAGGAGCCGAAGUCAGGCUCCUUCUAGACCAGUAUCUAUGAUGAGAGGGGCCUGGAGCAGAUAUACGCUGCCAUCCCCAGCAGGCAUUUGCAAACACCUUAGAAGGGACAUAAGAUGGGCAGAAUAUAUGCUUUUUAAAUGGAGUCCUCUGACUGACAGGUUGAUACUGAUGUCUGAAUUGGCACCCAGCAUUACAAUUAUACAAGACAUCUAUUACUUUC